GCCUCCCAACAAAGGCGUGCCUAUUAUAUUCUGUGAGUGGGCACGUAAGAAAUGGAGGCAGAUAAAAUGGACUGGCGACAUUGCACAAAAUAGACAACUUCUCUUUGCUAUUUGUAGAUCUCCCGUCCUACAUGU
Pseudonaja textilis is the source of this 135-nucleotide small nucleolar RNA. Ensembl annotates it as small nucleolar RNA SNORA38. The record is from Ensembl. Lineage: Eukaryota; Metazoa; Chordata; Lepidosauria; Squamata; Elapidae.